CCACACAAAAACCAGUGCACAGAGGUUUACAGCAGCUUUAUUCAUAGUUUUCAAAAUUUGGAAGCAACCAGGAAGUCCUUCAGUAUCAUGAGUGGGUAAAUAAACUGUGGUACAUCCAGACAGUGGAAUAGUAUUUAGGGCUAGAAAGAAAUGAGCUACCAAGCCAUGAAAUGGCAUGGAGGAAACUUAAAUGCCUAUUGCUAUGUGAAAGAAGCCGAUCUGAAAAGGCUACACACUGUACGAUUCCAACUAUAUGACGUUCUGGAAAAGACAGAACUAUGGGAACAGUAGAAAGAUCUGUGGUUUCCAGGGGUUGGGGGAAGGGAGCACAGGGGUUCAGAGGUGGAGCACAGAGGAUCUUUCGGGCGGUGACACACAUUAUUCUGUGUAGAAUAAUGGUGGAUAAGGGUCGUUGUACAUUUGACCAAACACAUGGAACCCAUAGCCCUCAUGUAAACCAUGGGCUGCGGGUGACACUGAUGUGCCAGUGCAGGUCCCUCAUGCACCCCUCUGCUGGGGAUGUGAUAGAGGGGGAGGCUGUGCACAUGUAGGAGCUGGGGGUGUAUGGGAACUCUCUGUACUUUCUGCUCAGUUUUUCUGUGAACCUAAAACUAUUCUAAAAAUAAUUAAGUCUAUUUAAAAAUCAAAACACAACAGCCCAGUGCACGGCCCUCCCUGUUCUCCCAAAGCUCACAUUCUAGUGGGGAGUCAGACACAGAAACAGACACAGCCAAGUAGGCAGUCACUGCAGUGAUGAGGCAGCCACAGGGGGCUGUGGAAACUCAAGACGGGGCCACUACAGUGGCAUCAGGGAAGGCUUCCUGAAGGAGGUGUUGCCUCCAGUGGGUAUUGACGUGCAGCAGGAGUUGCCCAGCUGGAGAUCAGGGCAGGCACUAAAGGCAGCAUGCACAAGGCACCGAGGAGUGAGGAGUUGCGGGAGCAGCGGAAGUUCCUAGUGCAGCGUGGGGGUGCUCCGUGCACAGAUAAAUUGCGGGCGGCGGGCAACAGGACCCUGGGUGUCCCCAGAACCUCGCGGACCGGCCCCAGGGUUGAAUCCCAGGUCUGGCUUGCAGAGGCGCCUCGGCACGUGUGCAGCGACACCUGGCGGUGGCACUUGGAACUGCGGACGGUUGCAAAGGAGCGGACAGCUGAGAGGUGGUGCCGGCGAUGCGGGCCAGCGCGGGCUGGGCCAGGGAGACGCAGGUGGCAGGGACCGAGGGCUGCGUCCCACAGCAGCUUCCAGGACCUGGAGAAAAAUCGACACAGAAACUGAGGCCCAGAGGAGUUGAAUAUUUGGCCCAGGCCACACAGGAAGUCCAGCCAGCGCUGAUGAAAGACUGAGGAUUGGGUGGGACAGGAUGCCUGGCCUUUCUGAGCCUUGCUGUCCUUGUCUGCUGUGUCGG
RNAcentral lists this long non-coding RNA (1403 nucleotides) under Callithrix jacchus (white-tufted-ear marmoset). RNAcentral's name for it is "lncRNA (ENSCJAG00000081423.1)". Lineage: Eukaryota; Metazoa; Chordata; Mammalia; Primates; Cebidae. The record is from RNAcentral.